Molecule: transfer RNA, 79 nt
Filed under: Scedosporium apiospermum
Lineage: Eukaryota; Fungi; Ascomycota; Sordariomycetes; Microascales; Microascaceae
Rfam family: tRNA
About the family: Transfer RNA (tRNA) molecules are approximately 80 nucleotides in length. Their secondary structure includes four short double-helical elements and three loops (D, anti-codon, and T loops).
Source: Rfam by way of RNAcentral
GGUCGAGUGGCGCAAUGGUAGCGCGUUGCUUUCCGGUUCUAAUCGCCAGGAAGUUGGCAAAGGUUCUGGGUUCGAGUCC